GGUUUGAUCAUGGCUCAGAUUAACGCUGGGUGAUGUUUUUGUACAUGCAAGUCGAACGGCAGCACGUGACUUCGGUCUGGUGGCGAGUGGUUAACGGGUAGAGUAAUGUAUCGGAACGUGCCUAGUAGGGGGAUAACUACGCGAAAGCGUAGCUAAUACCGCAUACCAGCCCUUCGGGGGAAAGCGGGGACCUUCGGGCCUCGUGACUAUUAGAGCGGCCGAUAUCGAUUAGCUAUUGGUAAGUAACGCUCACCAAGGCGACGAUCCGUAGCUGGUUUGAGAGACGACCAGCCACUGGGGACUGAGACACGGCCCAGAUCUUUACGGGAGGCAGCAGUGGGGAAUUUGACAAUGGGGAAAUUCCCGAUCCAGCCAUCUCAAGUGUGUGCGAUGAAGGCCUUCGGUUAGGAAGCACUUUUAUGUGGAAAAAGAAAACGGCACGGGAUAAUACCCUGUGCAACUGACGGUACCUGCAGAAGAAGCACCCGGCUAACUACGCCAGCAGCCGCGGUAAUACGUAGGGUGCAAGCGUUAAUCGGAAUUACUGGGCGUAAAGCGUGCGCAGGCGGCCUGGAAAGAAAGAUGCAAAUCCCCAGAGCUUAACUUUGGAACUGCAUUUUUAACUACUGAGCUAGAGGUGUCAGAGGGAGGUGGAAAUUCGCGUGUAGCAGGAAUGUGUAGAUAUGCGGAGGAACACCGAUGGCGAAGGCAGCCUCCUGGGAUAACACUGACGCUCAUGCACGAAAGCGCGGGAGCAAACAGGAUUAUAUACCCUGGUAGUCCACGCCCUAAACGAUGUCAACUAGCUGCUGGGGCCUUCGGGCCUUGGUAGCGCAGCUAACGCGCAGUCGACGGCCUGGGGAGUACGGUCGCAAGAGAUUAAAACUCGAAUGAUUGGACUCGUACAAGCAGAGAUGAUGGGAUUAAUUCGAUGCAACGCGAAAACCUUACCUACCCUUGAUAUGUUCCGGAAUCCCGAAGAGAUUUGGGAGUGCUCGCAAGAGAAACCGGAACACAGGUGCUGCAUGGCUGUCGUCAGCUCGUGUCGUGAGAUGUUGGGUUAAGUCCCGCAACGAGCGCAACCCGUCAGCUAUUGCUACGAAAGGGCACUCGACGAGACUGCCGGUGACAAACCGAGAAGUGUGGGGAUGACGUCAAGUCCUCAUGGCCCUUGCGGUAGGGCUUCACACGCUAUACAAUGGUCGGGACAGAGGGUCGCCAACCUGCUAGAGGGAGCCAAUCCCAGAAACCUGAUCGUAGUCCGGAUCGCAGUCUGCAACUCGACUGCGUGAAGUCGGAAUCGCUAGUAAUCGCGGAUCAGCAUGUCGCGUGAAUACGUUCCUGGUCUUGUACACACCGCCCGUCACACCAUGGGAAGUGGGUUUUACCAGAAGUAGUUAGCCUAACCGCGAGGGCGAUUACCACGGUAGGAUUCAUGACUGGGGUGAAGUCGUAACAAGGUAACCCCAGCAUACCUGAUGCCCUGCG
This 1488-nucleotide ribosomal RNA is filed under the name uncultured Bordetella sp. RNAcentral describes it as "partial 16S-23S ribosomal RNA intergenic spacer". It matches the Rfam family "Bacterial small subunit ribosomal RNA". Lineage: Bacteria; Pseudomonadati; Pseudomonadota; Betaproteobacteria; Burkholderiales; Alcaligenaceae. The record is from RNAcentral.